Molecule: ribosomal RNA, 539 nt
Filed under: Lysinibacillus sphaericus
Lineage: Bacteria; Bacillati; Bacillota; Bacilli; Caryophanales; Bacillaceae
Description: bacterial SSU rRNA
Rfam family: Bacterial small subunit ribosomal RNA
Source: RNAcentral
GGGGCGAGCCUGAUGGAGCACGCCGCGUGAGUGAAGAAGGAUUUCGGUUCGUAAAACUCUGUUGUAAGGGAAGAACAAGUACAGUAGUAACUGGCUGUACCUUGACGGUACCUUAUUAGAAAGCCACGGCUAACUACGUGCCAGCAGCCGCGGUAAUACGUAGGUGGCAAGCGUUGUCCGGAAUUAUUGGGCGUAAAGCGCGCGCAGGUGGUUUCUUAAGUCUGAUGUGAAAGCCCACGGCUCAACCGUGGAGGGUCAUUGGAAACUGGGAGACUUGAGUGCAGAAGAGGAUAGUGGAAUUCCAAGUGUAGCGGUGAAAUGCGUAGAGAUUUGGAGGAACACCAGUGGCGAAGGCGACUAUCUGGUCUGUAACUGACACUGAGGCGCGAAAGCGUGGGGAGCAAACAGGAUUAGAUACCCUGGUAGUCCACGCCGUAAACGAUGAGUGCUAAGUGUUAGGGGGUUUCCGCCCCUUAGUGCUGCAGCUAACGCAUUAAGCACUCCGCCUGGGGAGUACGGUCGCAAGACUGAAACUCAAA